GCAGUUGUGGCCUACGGGUUAGGGCUUCGGGCUUGGAUCCGAAUGGUUGCCGGUUCGAUCCCCAACCAGUGGGA
Molecule: transfer RNA, 74 nt
Filed under: Alosa alosa (allis shad)
Lineage: Eukaryota; Metazoa; Chordata; Actinopteri; Clupeiformes; Clupeidae
Description: tRNA-OTHER
Source: RNAcentral